AUUAGCCAUGCAUGUCUCAGUACAAGCCAAAUUAAGGUGAAACCGCGAAAGGCUCAUUAAAUCAGUUAUGGUUCCUUAGAUCGUACCCACAUUUACUUGGAUAACUGUGGUAAUUCUAGAGCUAAUACAUGCAAACAGAGCUCCGACCGGAGACGGAAGGAGCGCUUUUAUUAGAUCAAAACCAAUCGGUGGCGGGCAACCGUCACCGUACACCUUGGUGACUCUGAAUAACUUUUUGCUGAUCGCACGGUCUCGCACCGGCGACGCAUCUUUCAAAUGUCUGCCUUAUCAACUGUCGAUGGUAGGUUCUGCGCCUACCAUGGUUGUAACGGGUAACGGGGAAUCAGGGUUCGAUUCCGGAGAGGGAGCCUGAGAAACGGCUACCACAUCCAAGGAAGGCAGCAGGCGCGCAAAUUACCCACUCCCGGCACGGGGAGGUAGUGACGAAAAAUAACGAUACGGGACUCAUCCGAGGCCCCGUAAUCGGAAUGAGUACACUCUAAACCCUUUAACGAGGAUCAAUUGGAGGGCAAGUCUGGUGCCAGCAGCCGCGGUAACACCAGCUCCAAAAGCGUAUAUUAAAGUUGUUGCGGUUAAAAAGCUCGUAGUCGAAUUUGUGUCUCGCGCCGCCGGUUCAUCGCUCGCGGUGUCAACUGGCGUGUCCGCGGGACGUCCUGCCGGUGGGCUUAGCUCUUCGGGGCGGCCCAAUUUCAAUCCCACCGCGGUGCUCUUUACUGAGUGUCGAGGUGGGCCGGCACGUUUACUUUGAACAAAUUAGAGUGCUUAAAGCAGGCUAAAACAUCGCCUGAAUACUGUGUGCAUGGAAUAAUGGAAUAGGACCUCGGUUCUAUUUUGUUGGUUUUCGGAACCCCGAGGUAAUGAUUAAUAGGAACGGAUGGGGGCAUUCGUAUUGCGACGUUAGAGGUGAAAUUCUUGGAUCGUCGCAAGACGGACAGAAGCGAAAGCAUUUGCCAAAAACGCUUUCAUUGAUCAAGAACGAAGUUAGAGGUU
This 1011-nucleotide ribosomal RNA is filed under the name Onthophagus sp. 02 JHY-2013. RNAcentral's name for it is "SSU rRNA". It matches the Rfam family "Eukaryotic small subunit ribosomal RNA", at positions 44 to 998 of the family's 1831-position model. The record is from RNAcentral. Lineage: Eukaryota; Metazoa; Arthropoda; Insecta; Coleoptera; Scarabaeidae.